UUAAGUUCAGCGGGUAUUCCUACCUGAUUUGAGACCAUGGUUCAAGCUUUUUUACGGCUUCAAGUUUAUGGACUGCAAAGCACAGUCGAGCUAAUUUUUACUGCAUCUUAAUAGGCAUUAUAAGAGAUAAAUCCCAUUCAAAUACUUUUCUGAUGCUUUGCAAAAAGUCAAACACUCUUAGCGCAGUUCAGUUAUAGAUU
RNAcentral lists this unclassified non-coding RNA (200 nucleotides) under uncultured fungus. Its description in RNAcentral is "sequence contains ITS2". Lineage: Eukaryota; Fungi. The record is from RNAcentral.